RNAcentral lists this long non-coding RNA (3377 nucleotides) under Lupinus mutabilis. RNAcentral describes it as "partial ncRNA". Lineage: Eukaryota; Viridiplantae; Streptophyta; Magnoliopsida; Fabales; Fabaceae. The record is from RNAcentral.
UGAGGUUCGUAUUGAGAUUCUUAUAUUUCUUAAUAAAUAUAUUUUAGAUAUAGUAAUAGAUGAGUUGUUUUACCCUAAUAUGGGGCAAUGCAUGAAUGAUGUGUGCCAUUCUUAUUUUUCUUAUUGUUGUGCCAAUUAUCAUAUGAGGUUGGAAAAUUUCUCAAUUCAUGGUUUCCAGGGACAUGGAGCUGUAUGAAGAGGGGCUACAUCAUCUGCUAUUUUAUGGUAAGACGGUUGAAUGUUUCGAGUUGAUUGAUUGUUUUAGAAUUAUGCGAGUAAAUAUAUUUGCAAGCGAAAAUAAAAGAAUUACAACAUUGAACAUCAGUGGCUGUCCUCAUGUAAAAAAUAUUGAGAAUGAUGCUCCCACCCUUCAAUGCAUUUACUAUUGUUGGGUUAUGAUUAAAUUCAAUGCACUUAGUUUGUGUCAUAGAAUGAGACCGAUUUCGUCAUUUUUUGUAGAAACAUAAGUAGUCAAUAACGAGCUAUCGAACUGGGAUAGCGGUGUUGCGGUGGUUGCCUGCCCUUCCAUGUGAUGCAAGGGCGUGUAGCAGCGCAGAUGGCUGUUGCGCCUUCCGCAAGUCAGAGAGCAAUGACCUUGCUGGCACAAUCCGGGUCAUAACCUGCUCCAACAAGGUUGUGCGAAGAACCCUGACUUUUGAAGGGGAAAACCCUUUUUGCUGUUAUUUUUUAAUAUGUGGUAUGGUUUUUUAGGGUUUUGGGUGUUUAGCCCUCUCUCUUUUUCCCUAUUCUAUAGAAAAUGUGAAUAAGCUCUGCAAUUUUUGGCCACUCACUCUCAUCUCAACCUCCCACAUACAUACUUAUGGGAAAUUCAUCUUCCCCUCACUUACUUUCUCACAUACUCACUUCUUGGACAAAUAUGACCUCAUCUCAACCUCCCAUUGUCACACCACUCCUAGUGUUGUCAAAACUUAAAGAGUAUAACUUAUUUAAACUUUUAGUAUGUUCGUGUAUUUUCCUCCUUAGUUUUAGCGGCCAUCCCGUCACCUCCUAUCUCGCUAAUCGCUAGUGUUUUUUGGGUUGGCCGCUAUGGUCCGCUAUCCGCAAUUGAUUACUUAGCUUGAAAUAAUUUGCAUCCUUCUAUUCUGAAAAGUUCUUAAAUUCUUCACACAUGGUGCUUUGCAGUAUUCAUUUAUGAUUAGAUAAUGACUAACUUUAUGGAGUUUAAGUCGAUUCUAAAAUUGUGUGGGACUAGGCUAUGUGAAGAGUAAAGUAUGACAAGAGUUACUUCUAGAGAAUAGCCAAAACUGUUAAAAGGCUACCACAAUUGCAUUUUUUGCAUGGCAACUUAUUACAAAUGGGAAUUGUUUUUUCUUCUUCAAAUGUUAAGUGUUAUAUAUUGUAUUCUUGUAGGAUAAAUUCAACUUGAAAUGGACCUGUAGUAUGAACUGGUCUGCAUGAAUCCUUUGACAUAAUUGGUUGGUGCUUUAUACUACAUUACUAGGUGUUACCAGCCAAAGGAUUUUUACCGACCAAUUUAUCCAACUGCACAAAAUCAAGUUGAAAUUCUCCCCCAAGUUAACAAUAAAAGUUGUCAUUUGAAAAAGAAGAAAAAACCAUUCUCAUUUGUAGGAAGUUUUGGUGUUCAAAUGCUUUACAUCAGUGGCAUUUUCUUAACUCAUUUAAUUCCUAGCACCAACUAUUUGUCAUACUUUCCUCUUCUAGUUGUCCAAAAGUCUCCAGACCAUUUCAGAAUUAGGAUUACUUAAUAAUAAAGUUUAACAAGUCUAAUCAUAAAUUAAUGCAACAAAGUGACAUAUGUGAGGAAUAAAAAGGAUUUUCCAGAAUAGAAUGAUGCAAAUAAUUUCUAGAAGAAGAAAAAAGAUGAAGGUGGCUUCAUUUUGGUGGUACAUCAAUCUCAAUUUUCAUAUCACACGGUUGCUCCAAAUAUGCUCACUCACUUAGUUCCUACACAACAAUCAAAGUCUAGAAUCUUAAUCAUACAUUGAACAUGACAUUCCUGAGCAGAUUUUGGAAAAUUUCUAAAAUAGGUGUACACGUAAUUCAAACAUGGGAGUAAAGUGUCUCGUGGAGUUAAGUUAUCUUAUCUAACCACUAAAAACAUGUGUCAUAACUAACUAUUUUUUACAAAAAUACUUUUAGUGGUUAGAGGAGGUAGUUUAUUUUUUUUUAAAUAUUGUAAAGUUUUAAGAUUUUCAAUGUUGGGAAUUCUAGGAAUUGAGGAACAAGGGCAUAACCACAGUGAAAGAAAUUGAAGUCAAGUUCUUGGUUAAUUUUGAAUGUAUAUUUUGAGCCAUUUUUCAAAGAUGCAAUAGAAUUUUCCACUAUCUCCACCAUGUUCAUGAGAUUAAGCAAAAAGUAAUUUGCGGUUAGGAUUCUUGAAUCAUGCAGAGACAGUGCAAGCUAUCUAUUGCAUCUAUGAACCAAACUGGUGUUGAAGAAUUGAUUUAAAAAUGACUCAAAAUAUUUGUUUUAAAAGAUUCCAAGAACUCAAGUUUAGUUUAUUUUCAAGGUGAAUCCAUCCUUCUUGAAUUCAUAGUAAAUUAAACAUUGAAAGUUUUAAAGCUUUCUAACCAAUGUUAUAAGGGUUACACUGCUCGGUUUGCUUAUGAGACUUGCAAAUGAUUCUGGUUUGCAGUCUUAAUUGAAGUAGAGGUGCGGCAGCUUUGAAUGUGAACAUUAUGAUCUCAUUGUCUUAAACGUGCUUAAACUAGAAUAGCUCGAGAAGCAAACUAGAUAUUUCGGUUAAAAUUUGAAAACAAGGUCGAGCACUUCUUUACUAUUUUGAUUUAUUCGGCAUAAAAAUAUAAGUGGAGAGAUAUUACUUCAAUACAAGAAUAUAUAUAAUUAUGUAUUUAUAUAUAAUGAUGUAUGUAUACAUGAUUAUUCAUUAUAUGUGAUGUCAUUAAAUCCAACCUAAUAGUUUAGCUAAUUAACCUUAACUCGAGAUCUUUUAUGAUUUGAUGUUUGACUCGAGUUUCAUAAUAUUGGUUUAAAUGGCGGUGCCACCUAUGAUAAAAGGAUGGUAAAAUCUACUGGAUAUGGCUUGAUGGGGGAUAUGGAGCUGUGUGAAGUUGAUCUGGAGCAUUAAAAGGCUUGCUCCUUCUCCUUUUCAAGAGAUCAUGAAUUAAUGUAGCAACAAAGAGUGAGACGUAUCCACAAUUUUGUAUAUGAUUGCAGAAGUUUUAUAUUGUUAUUACCCCAUUACAUUUUAUUCUCACAAUUUUUAAGCUGAACUUAUCAUUAUUUUAGUGUCCAAAUGUUAAGAGGAAUGGCAUUUUUGUAGCCCAUUCAAUUCUCUGGCCUCAACUACUUGCCACAUACAUCACAUAUUUGGAGUUGUUCUUUGUGGUUUUUCUCUAUGUAUCAAUACUCAAUAGUGUGUGAGAAAGUAAAAG